UACGUAGGUGGCAAGCGUUGUCCGGAAUUAUUGGGCGUAAAGCGCGCGCAGGCGGUCCUUUAAGUCUGAUGUGAAAGCCCACGGCUCAACCGUGGAGGGUCAUUGGAAACUGGGGGACUUGAGUGCAGAAGAGGAAAGCGGAAUUCCACGUGUAGCGGUGAAAUGCGUAGAGAUGUGGAGGAACACCAGUGGCGAAGGCGGCUUUCUGGACAGUGACUGACGCUGAGACGCGAAAGCGUGGGGAGCAAACAGG
Molecule: ribosomal RNA, 253 nt
Filed under: uncultured bacterium
Lineage: Bacteria
Description: partial 16S ribosomal RNA
Rfam family: Bacterial small subunit ribosomal RNA
Source: RNAcentral